CUUUGUUCUCGGGGGUUUAAUUUGAGAAACGAAAUGGAAAGUGUUGGUGGAUCUGGUAGUCAACCUCCUGUACAAAAUGUGGAACAUGAUAUGGAAGCAGGAGCUGCAAAGAAAGAUACAUCUCAGCAGCCAUUGCCUCCAUCUGUUCCUAAAAAAAGAAAAGAAGUUGAAACUAGAUCUCCUGUAUGGGAUCACUUUGAGAAAA
This is a long non-coding RNA of Ipomoea nil (Japanese morning glory), 205 nucleotides long. RefSeq lists it as uncharacterized. Lineage: Eukaryota; Viridiplantae; Streptophyta; Magnoliopsida; Solanales; Convolvulaceae. The record is from RefSeq and is a predicted model, not a curated record. The transcript has 2 exons.